This is a long non-coding RNA of Bubalus bubalis (water buffalo), 414 nucleotides long. RefSeq lists it as uncharacterized. The record is from RefSeq and is a predicted model, not a curated record. Lineage: Eukaryota; Metazoa; Chordata; Mammalia; Artiodactyla; Bovidae. The transcript has 4 exons.
CCGGCCCACUGCCCACCCCUUCCCCUAUCUGGACCUCUCCCGGCGGCUGGUUCCGAGGCGGCCUCUCCUCCAGGUGCCCCGCUGUGACCUGCCGAGCUGCAGACAGACGCCGAGACAGGUGUACCAUGAACAUCUCUUCCAUGAACGUGGGUGAAAACCCCCUACUGAAACACAGAGCACUGUAGUUGGAUCAAAUGGCUGCUGCUCCUGAAGCUGAGCCGUUGACAGAUCUCCACAUUCUCUGAGUAUCUCCUCACCUCCCAGAUGCCUUUCCUGCAGCGACGAGAACCCUCACACUGACCUGAAAAAAUCAGGAGCAACAACCAGGGGCUCGCAGAUGGCUCCGGGUCCGACAACACCGAGGGAGGGCCAGUACCCGGACCAGUGCCCACUUCUGGGCCCAACGGUCACGUG